ACUAAGUCUGGAUGUCACGUAGAGCCAUGCAGCACCCUAAAACUUGCAGAAGAUCCCCGUUUCAGAAAUCUGAAGCCACCCGGUGUCCGGGGCAAAGGAGGAACUUCAAUCAUAAGACAGCCAGACAUCCGUGGACAUUUUGGUGGCUAUUUGAGAACAGCCCUGAAGCAAUCUCAGUGGGUUACCUGUGGGGAAUUUCUCUUGUCUGAGACCAGACCCACACCACUGAUGGUGACAGGCUGGAUCAGGAAGACACUUUGAGAGAUAUCACCAGCAACUCCUGUGAAAUCCAUAGAGAGGCCUAUUUGCAAUGCUUAGCAACCUGUCAUCUUUUUAAAUAACAAGAUUAUUUCUACAAAUGAACAAAGAGGCUGGCUGUGCUGGGAUAAACAUCAACUUUUUCACUGACAUAAAUAUUGUACACCAAGAGCUUAAUUCAACAACCAUAUCAUGUUUCUGGCAAGUUCCUGCAUGUAAUUUUGCUAUGUCGCUAUACAUAAAUACGGAGAGUAACCAAUUCCAUCAGGGUGCGGGGACAGAUGUCACUCCGCUGCUGCUGUGUUUGUGCUCGCUGCGGAGGCGCAGCUUAGGGAAGCGCA
Heterocephalus glaber (naked mole-rat) is the source of this 599-nucleotide long non-coding RNA. RefSeq lists it as uncharacterized. The record is from RefSeq and is a predicted model, not a curated record. NCBI's taxonomy places the organism in Eukaryota, Metazoa, Chordata, Mammalia, Rodentia, Bathyergidae.